This 555-nucleotide ribosomal RNA is filed under the name uncultured bacterium. Its description in RNAcentral is "bacterial SSU rRNA". It matches the Rfam family "Bacterial small subunit ribosomal RNA", at positions 353 to 896 of the family's 1533-position model. The record is from RNAcentral.
GUAGGGGAAUCUUCGGCAAUGGACGGAAGUCUGACCGAGCAACGCCGCGUGAGUGAAGAAGGUUUUUCGGAUCGUAAAGCUCUGUUUGUAAGAGAAGAACGAGUGUGAGAGUGGAAAGUUCACACUGUGACGGUAUCUUACCAGAAAGGGACGGCUAACUACGUGCCAGCAGCCGCGGUAAUACGUAGGUCCCGAGCGUUGUCCGGAUUUAUUGGGCGUAAAGCGAGCGCAGGCGGUUAGAUAAGUCUGAAGUUAAAGGCUGUGGCUUAACCAUAGUAGGCUUUGGAAACUGUUUAACUUGAGUGCAAGAGGGGAGAGUGGAAUUCCAUGUGUAGCGGUGAAAUGCGUAGAUAUAUGGAGGAACACCGGUGGCGAAAGCGGCUCUCUGGCUUGUAACUGACGCUGAGGCUCGAAAGCGUGGGGAGCAAACAGGAUUAGAUACCCUGGUAGUCCACGCUGUAAACGAUGAGUGCUAGGUGUUAGACCCUUUCCGGGGUUUAGUGCCGUAGCUAACGCAUUAAGCACUCCGCCUGGGGAGUACGAAACGCAAGGUUG